Molecule: long non-coding RNA, 1621 nt
Organism: Diachasmimorpha longicaudata
Lineage: Eukaryota; Metazoa; Arthropoda; Insecta; Hymenoptera; Braconidae
Exons: 3
Source: RefSeq, a predicted model, not a curated record
UUCAACCACAAAUCAAGAUGUCCAGUUCCAAAUGGUCAUUUUAUCUCAAAAUUUACGAGUUGUUUACUAAAGAUAAAUGAAAUUCUGACUGUUAUUUACUGUGCAUUUAAUAUUUGUCAGUCUCGCUGAAGGGAAAACAUCUCGAUAUGACAAAUUUACGACGCACUUUGGACCAGAUAUCAAGUUUCAACUUUGAGAUCCGUCAGCUGUACAUCCACUGACACCUGGAAUUUAACGAUUCCCCUGAGCCAUAAGCAUCCAGAAUCCACGAAUAUGAUUAGAUAAGACACUCCUGCGACAUGGUAAAUGUCACUUUACCACACAUCACUUCAUGCAUUUCCUACGGGAAAUUCAAACUCUGUCAUCCCUAGGUAGUUAACCACCUCCUCGACAGUCUACCCCACAGUAUAAUCUUCCCACAUUGUCAUUGACAGUUUGGAGAUCGUUUUCGAUUGAUAAUACGAUCCAACAGUAUCAGAAUUUCCACCAGAUUUCAACAGAAUCCUAUUCGUUGACGGUUCAAUUGACACUGAUGAAAAUUCACUGGACCACUGGAUGACAUGCAAAUACUGAAUUUAUACCACAAGUACAGGAUCACGUAUUGAAGGUUGGACAGGAAUGUGGUUAUAAAUUGUUAACAAGUCUCUACGUAGUUGGAAGCCCAACUCCUUGCGGCAUGAAAUUCUCAGGAGUGGAAUUUAUCUUGACUUGGUGUACUCCCUAAGUUUACGUUGUAAUCCCGUCUGUCAGUUUUUGCGGUACAAAGGAGAUGUUGAGUUCUUCACCGUGAACAACAAUUCCAUUUCUUUGUUCAUAAUUUCACUGAAUUUAUUUUCACUAUUGUAUAUCCACAAAAUUCUAACAUCUAUCAGGUCUUAAUGAAUAAUUUAAAAAUUCAGACGAUGGUGAUAGAUAAAGGGAGAUAGUACUCUGUGGUGUUCACGUGAAACGACACAUGGGAAUCGUUACUCUGACGAUAUAUUUUCGAGAUGCGGUGGAGGUACUGCUACGGUAUUAGUACCCGAAAACGAGGCAUGAAUAUGUGAAUAUUUAAGUACUAGGACUGAAAGAAGGGCUCGCCCAUCGACCGAAGGCGCAACUGAGAAUCGCAAAACAUUCUAUGAUCGAUACGAUAUAUCCGUCUCGGUGACGAAUAAGGAUCAUUUUUUGACGGAUCUAAUCUGUCAAAUUUUGUCCUCAACAUAGAAACGCAUUACGAAAUUUCGAAGUCGAAGCUAAAUUGAACGAAUGAAAUUCACAUUUCGCAUAUCGCCAAGUACUAUAUGGUUCUAUGUCCUAAUGAACAUAAACCAAACAUCACGAUCAGUUCCGUUUAAAAUCUUGAGUUAUUGUUGUAAUCAAUACACUAACUUCAAAGUAAAUAAUAAACCGCAAAACUGAUUUAAUAUAAAUUUGGUGUUUGUGUUGAUUUAUUUCGUUCAAAAUUUCCCGCAUUUUGGUUUAUCACUUCACGGAAAACGGACCCGCCACCUGGAAUACCCGAGAACCAGACGAGUAGGCAAAGUAGAGACUAGCCUUUGCAACUGCACGGAGCGAGUACCCGGUUCGCUUCUACUCCCAAUAUAGAGAACUAUCUAAGGGUCGGUAAACAUGGUUCCUA